CAAUAGACAAAAAUGAGGAAAUCAACUUUUCAAGGAUUGAAGCAAAAAUAUAAGUGGAAAUAAAAAAUUAAAGAAUGGAAAUAGAAGAAAGAAACUAUUCAAAUGCAUAGAAUUCAUAAAGAUAAAAUACCAGAUAAAAUAGGUAACAGCUGGUUUGAAGUUUUCAUAUGUCAUCACAGCUGUUCUGUGGCAGACGCCAGACGCCGUAUUGUUGUCAAGUUGUGGUAAUUCAGAAAACUAAUUUAUUUUUGUCGACUGAUAAACAAGAAAGCUUUGAAUCACUUUGUUCUUUUGUUGCGGAUAUGAAUAACUCUCUAUAGAAAUAAUUUUUUUCUCUGUAUGACUAGAAUAUAAUUUUCAAAAUGAUCAUAAAAGGCUUGCAUUUAAUCCCAGUAGUGUUGUUCAUUGUUUUGCCAUCGACGUUUGUGGGAACAUACAUAUAUGCCGUGAUGAAAGGGCAUGUGGAACCAUAUUUUCCUUACAUAAGUGACGCAGGUACAAGGGCUCCAGAAAGCUGUGUAUUCGGCCAACUGAUAAAUAUGUGCUCGGUCAUGUUGGCGAUAUCUGUGUAUGUACGCUACUGUCAUGUCUACCAGUAUUGCGUUGAAUGCAAUUUUCCCAGCAAAGUGUUGACCUUGAACAAGAUCGGCGUGUGGCUUGGUCUGCUCUCCUGCUUGGGACUCAGUCUAGUGGCCAACUUCCAGGAAACAAAUGUGUUUGCCAUACAUAUUUUCGGUGCUUUCCUCUGCUUUGGUCUGGGCACGAUCUACUUUUGGCUACAGGCAAUAUGCUCUUACCACAUGACACCUUUGGUUAAUACACCUUAUGUAUCCAAUCUGCGCGCUGUGUUGGCUACAAUAUGUUCAGUCUUCUUUGUGAUAAUGGCUGGCUGUGGAAUUACUGCGCAUCUUAGAUUCCAUGGACACGAUCCGAGAAAAUGGUACCCAACAGAUGGAGGAUGGGUUUUACACGUGAUAAGCACAACUUCGGAGUGGAUAAUCGCCCUGUGCUUCUGUUCAUUUAUUCUAUCAUUCUCUAACGAGUUCAGAGAUAUAACUAUUCAUCAUCCACAGAUACAACUGAACAGGCCUGAAUUGCUGAUAGCAAACACCAACGAUGAGCCGAUUAGUUGAUCAGAGUCAGCUGACCAGCAAGUACCAAAUAGCAGUAGUGUUGUCAACAUUCUAGGAGCCCACGGCAUCACACCGACAGACGAUGCACCGAUUGUCGAUGUAUGCGAAAAUGGUGAAACUGGCGCGAAUUUUCCAAUGCCAAAGACUCGUAGCUCGCCGACUCUAGCUCUGCCUUCUCCGGAUGAGUCGUACAGCAGUCGACUCAUGUCUCUCUCCUUGUCUCUCCUUAUGGCCGCCAUUUUCCAAGCGAUCCGCCAUCUUGGUGGACUUCUCCAGGAUGUCAUCUACACGUUGCAUUGGAAUGUCGAGAAUCAGUGAUGUAUUAAAUCAGUAACCCUCAAGCUGAAUAGAUAGAAGGUAGAACCAAUCAGAGAAGGCGUUUUUAAAAAGACGGCUCCUCUGAUUGGUUCUCGUGGAAUUAAUCACGGUUAAAAUUUAACCGGUUUUUGUGCAACCGGCACUAAGUGUCCCACCCUCCAUCUUCUUACCUUAAGUAAGAAAGUAUCCUCCCCUUAGAUUUUUAGUUAAUGCUGUUUCCAAUAGUUUUCUCUUGAAAUAGAAUCCGAUUCUGCAUAUAUAUAUUUUUGGGGGUAACCUUGAAAUACGAACUCCUGUGUUAUCCCCUUUCAACGUAUUGGAAAUUAUAUCUAUGACAUUAUCUUGCUCUGCCUAUUUAAAACUAAGAAUAUGUGUUCAAACUUCAUAGUUACGGUCAGAAAAUUGUCGCAGAGUUUUACAGUAAAAUUUCAUGCCAAAAUUGUCUAGAUUAAAUUUAUUAUGUAUUUUAUUCUUAUACAAAUUGACAAUUUCCACUGAGACUGAUGAGACACUUAGUGAAAAACUAAACUGAGACUUAGUUGUGAGAAACAAAAUAUAUAUCUGUAACAACAAGUAAUAAAUUUUUAUGAUAAAUAAGUAUAGUAAUAAUGGAUAUAACAAGUAUAAUGACAAGACUUGCUUCAGGCAGUAUCAGUAUCCGUUUUGGAGUGAACCGUGGUCUAGUGAAUAGAGUGCUUGCGUAGCAGCAUAGUGAUCCCGGGCUCAAACCUUCUCAUUAUCAAAAGAUUUUUAACCAGAUCAUUCCCGUGUUAUCGGAUGGGUACGUUAAACAGUCGGUCCCGGCUGAAGUAUGACAGUCGUAAGGCCCAUUGAAUGCUUAAAUUAUAUAUUCAGGCGGUGGGACCUUCCCGCAAGGGACUCCCCACCAACAAAAGCUGUACGAAUUUACUUUUAGUAUCAGUUCUAAUUCUUUUACCCAUUUUGGAGCGGCAUUUUACUGAAAAAAUCUGCGACAGUUUACUGCCUGUACCCUAAUCCCCGUUUACUCGAUAGCAGUUUAACCGUAGUUAAUCUUAAUCCAGGAUUAAAAGAAGCAAUCGUCGCAUUUAUUAUCAUGUGUUUCAAUUGAAUCUAAUCUUGGUUUAAAUGUAAUCAAACUGCUAUUGAGCUCAAGACUAAAGUCUGAUACCAGUUUGGACUCAAGUACAAAUUCUAAAGAAUAUUUUACAUCAACUCUGUUUUUAAAUAUGCUUCUAUCAAUGAAGUUUUCACUCUAUUCAGAAUUAUUUUUGAGAAUUCAAAAGUAUUUUCACGAUUUCAAUGCAAUGCUACCUUUCAAGACUCCAUGUUCUGUGUUCGUACUAUACUUAGUAUUAUAUCUUAUACUGUGUCACCUUGAAUACUUGAUAUAUUUUCAACAAAUUCUUUCCAUCAUUAAUACUGACUUGUAUUGAUGUAUUCUUAAAAAUUCAUUAAUAAUGACUUUGCUGUAUCAUACUAAACAUGACAAGGUCUGUAGGAAUACCUUGCUAUAGACUUUGGACUUAGAUACACGUAAGAAACGAUAGAACCAUGUAGACUGAAAUUUCAAUUCUCUUUUAAUGACUGAGCGUGCUUUCUAACGUAUGACUAUGGCCCAAAACUCUAGUGAUAGUUUCUAUCUUAACGCUGACUUGUUUGUUGUAAAAUCAUAUAUAUUUCUAUCAAAUUUUGUAACUUUUGAAAUGUUACAUAAGUUGAAAUACAAUGGAAUUCUGUAUUAGUUAAGAUGUGUUUUGAUAGUGAACUAUUUGUUUAUUCAUUUUAUUAAUAUUUUGAUUAGUAUAAUUUCAUUCAAGUACCUAUUCCACUACUUGUUUCGAUACAUACUCGUAUGUAAAUUAGAUUGAUGGAAUGUGAGAGAAGAUUUACAAUAAUAAUCAUGUGAUAUAGCUACAUAAACAUUUAUGUGAAAUCUAUGUGUGAAGAUGGAUGUCAGGAAUUUUUUCUUAAUGCAAGAAUUGGAUUAUUAUUUUACAAACCGAGU
This 3438-nucleotide unclassified non-coding RNA is filed under the name Nilaparvata lugens (brown planthopper). RNAcentral describes it as "dNA damage-regulated autophagy modulator protein 2, transcript variant X1". Lineage: Eukaryota; Metazoa; Arthropoda; Insecta; Hemiptera; Delphacidae. The record is from RNAcentral.